AAGAAAAAUGAUUGGGUAGUUCUGGGAUGUUGUGCUCUGCCUGCGCUUAAUUGCGCGGUGGUUGCGUGAUAUCUGUUAACAGACUAUCUUACCAACACACGUGUAGUCUCUACUAUAUGCUUUUCUUCCUGGGCUGCUUUUAGGCUCAGGGACCAAACACAAACAAAACUUUUGAAAACUAGUCAAUAUAACUAUUUCAUUAUAGAAAUAAAAAUCUUCA
This is a non-coding RNA of Eremothecium sinecaudum, 220 nucleotides long. NCBI's taxonomy places the organism in Eukaryota, Fungi, Ascomycota, Saccharomycetes, Saccharomycetales, Saccharomycetaceae. The record is from RefSeq and is a predicted model, not a curated record.